AUUGAACGCUGGCGGAAUGCUUUACACAUGCAAGUCGAGCGGCAGCGCGGCCUUCGGGCUGGCGGCGAGCGGCGAACGGGUGAGUAAUGCAUCGGAACAUGCCCAGUCGGGGGGGAUAACACUUCGAAAGAAGUGCUAAUACCGCAUACGUCCUGAGGGGGAAAGCGGGGGAUCACAAGACCUCGCGCGAUUGGAGUGGCCGAUGUCAGCUUAGCUAGGCGGUGGGGGAAAGGCCUACCAAGGCGACUAUCUGUAGCUGGUCUGAGAGGAUGAUCAGCCACACAGGGACAGAGACACGGCCCAGACUCCUAAGGGGGGCAGCAGUGGGGAAUUUUGGACAAUGGGGGCAACCCUGAUCCAGCCAUACCGAGUGAGUGAAGAAGGCCUUCGGGUUGUAAAGCUCUUUCGGCAGGAACGACACGGUGGGCUCUAAUAUAGUCCGCUAAUGACGGUACCUGAAGAAGAAGCACCGGCUAACUACGUG
RNAcentral lists this ribosomal RNA (484 nucleotides) under uncultured bacterium. Its description in RNAcentral is "partial 16S ribosomal RNA". It matches the Rfam family "Bacterial small subunit ribosomal RNA", at positions 29 to 507 of the family's 1533-position model. The record is from RNAcentral.